UUUCUUCUCGUGUAUCUUGCAUUUUGAACUUCAGAGUUCAGCGUAUCAUCUUAGGAAGACACAUUGACUCUCAGCUCUUGCACUGAGGAUUCAUGGCAGCUUUAGAACACCAGUGUGAUAUGGCUCCAGACUUCACUAGUCUACUAAUUUGAAUGCCCUACUGGGAAUCAGAAGCUGUAAACUAUCUAGAGAUGUAACUUCAUGCUGGGAUACAUUACCAAAAAGCAGUGAUACCUUAUCUCUGAGCAAGGCAUCUUCUACGCUUCAGCUGUGAAUAUAGGCAAGGUAAGGCUUUUUUAAGGAAAACUACACUAGAAACAAAACAGAAUUUCCUUUAUAUUUUCUUACAUUUAAGACAACCACUGCCUUAAAAUA
Molecule: long non-coding RNA, 375 nt
Filed under: Struthio camelus australis
Lineage: Eukaryota; Metazoa; Chordata; Aves; Struthioniformes; Struthionidae
Description: lncRNA (ENSSCUG00000011329.1)
Source: RNAcentral